CAGAAAAUAGUUUAGUGUAGAAUACUGGCUUUGGGAGCCAGUGGUGUGAGUUAAAAUCUCUCUUUUCUGG
RNAcentral lists this transfer RNA (70 nucleotides) under Probarbus jullieni (Jullien's golden carp). RNAcentral's name for it is "tRNA-Pro". It matches the Rfam family "tRNA". Rfam says of the family: Transfer RNA (tRNA) molecules are approximately 80 nucleotides in length. The record is from RNAcentral. Lineage: Eukaryota; Metazoa; Chordata; Actinopteri; Cypriniformes; Cyprinidae.